GACGAACGCUGGCGGCGUGCCUAAUACAUGCAAGUUGAGCGCUGAAGGUUGGUACUUGUACCAACUGGAUGAGCAGCGAACGGGUGAGUAACGCGUGGGGAAUCUGCCUUUGAGCGGGGGACAACAUUUGGAAACGAAUGCUAAUACCGCAUAAAAACUUUAAACACAAGUUUUAAGUUUGAAAGAUGCAAUUGCAUCACUCAAAGAUGAUCCCGCGUUGUAUUAGCUAGUUGGUGAGGUAAAGGCUCACCAAGGCGAUGAUACAUAGCCGACCUGAGAGGGUGAUCGGCCACAUUGGGACUGAGGCACGGCCCAAACUCCUACGGGAGGCAGCAGGAGGGAAUCUUCGGCAAUGGACGAAAGUCUGACCGAGCAACGCCGCGUGAGUGAAGAAGGUUUUCGGAUCGUAAAACUCUGUUGGUAGAGAAGAACGUUGGUGAGAGUGGAAAGCUCAUCAAGUGACGGUAACUACCCAGAAAGGGACGGCUAACUACGUG
RNAcentral lists this ribosomal RNA (497 nucleotides) under uncultured bacterium. RNAcentral describes it as "partial 16S ribosomal RNA". It matches the Rfam family "Bacterial small subunit ribosomal RNA", at positions 28 to 507 of the family's 1533-position model. The record is from RNAcentral.